UGUCCCUCCCACCCUCUCGCCGCUGCCCCUACGUGCGUCUACAAUCGUGUGCUCCGGGGAGGGUCCGGGCAACAGCUGCCUUUGAUCAGGCCAACAUCUGGGAGACUCGGCACUUCAAGAACGCUGACUGGUGAUCAAAGGAAAAUGGAGAACCACAGCCAGACUUGGAAAUUAGGCAAGCAUUCUGUCCCCGGACCCUUGGAGAAACGGAGGUCUGAAGGUGGGGCUCCAAAACACCACCGGCAGCAGGUGACUUAACCUUUCUUGGCUUCCCGCUCCUCAUCGAGGUGGCACGUGCACAUAGGAGAGUGAACGUGUCAACGCGCUGAAUUGUCACAAACCGAACGCACCCAUAGAACCAGCCGCCAGGGGGAGAAACGGACCUUCCCAGCCCCUCGGAGAGGCCCUCUUGGUCCCUUCCAGUCACUAGCAGCUCCACCAAGACUGCUUAGCUUUGCUUUUAUUUAGUGCACGCCCGCUAGGAGCCAGGCAAGGCAGGAAACUACCCUGCGGGUGUGGCCUCACAUACACGUUGCAGCAACCCUACGCGGCCAGCGCUGUCGUGAUCCCCAUUUCACAGAUGAGAAAACCGAGGCACGGAAGAAUCCCAGUCACUUGCCCAGGGCCACACACUGGUAGGCAAGGCUUCGAGGCCUCGAAGGCCUGGCCACAGGACUGUGUGCUCUUGCCGUGAGAGGGAUGAUGCUCUUGGGAGUGGAUCGGUGCGGAGAGCAGUUUUAGUUUUUGGAGGGGAGACGGUAACACUACAGGGCUUUUAGGAAAACAGAGCCGUUCAGUGGCCCAGGGGGGCUUCUACUGAUGCCCGUGAACUCUUCAUAAGCAGCAGCCCGCGGCUUGCCCUCGGGAACUGGGUAGCACAGCCCCCACGCCUCUCUCCUCUUACCUCCCAAUUCUCUAUCCCAAGAGCUCCAUCAGGCCCUACAGGGGAGGUGCUGAUGGCACCAGGGGGAAGGCCACCCCCUUCCCCUACAGUCUUAGCCUUAGAAUAUCUUAGCCUGCGUCUGAAAGCAGAGCUUGAGGCGAGGGUUCAUGUGCAGGCAGUUGACCUGGGAGGUGAUCCCAGAGGGUGGGAAUGAGGGACAGGGAAGGAGGAAGAGCCAAUGUGGGGGUAUGUUAAUGCCUUGGCCGUGGCUGCGGGCGGCCGGUGUAUAUCCUGCAGGACCUAGAAAGCCUCACAAGAUGCAUCUCGGAAGCGUCUGCUCAGGGCAUAAAGGAGGGAAGCAUCCUUUACUGGCACCCACCCUCCUUGGCUCAAGGCGACCCUGUGACUGUCAACUCCCACUCACUUCUAGGCUGUGGGUUGGUGACCUGGUCUCCACAUCAGUGGCAGGGGUAAGAGGUGGGCUUGAGUAGAUAGACGAGGUUCAUGGAAGAGUCUGAGACACCGGGUGCUCCGUGGGCUGGGGCUGGCUCCUUCUCUCCACAGCUAACUGGUCACCCUCCCCCCUCAUCGGUCCUUCCCCCUCCCUCCCCCUACUCAGGUGACCACUGUCCUUCUAUCUUUUGCUCUGACACCAUCCCCGACAACACCAGAUGGUGCCUGCCUUACUUGAAGCCAUCCUGAAAUUGUGUUUCUCAACUAUUCUUUUUUUUUUUUUUAAGUGUAUUUAUUUUUCAGACAGAGAGAGACAGAGCAUGAACGGGGGAGGGUCAGAGAGAGAGGGAGACACAGAAUCGGAAGCAGGCUCCAGGCUCUGAGCCGUCAACACGGAGCCCGACGCGGGGCUUGAACUCACGGACCGUGAGAUCAUGACCUGAGCCGAAGUCGGAUGCUUAACCGACUGAGCCACCCAGGCUCAACUGUUCUUAUGUUCAAGUCCUAGCAUACAGUCAGCUAAGAUGAGGUCAUCCGGGAGUAGGGUGGGCCCCCAAUCCAGUAUGACUGGUGUCCUUAUAGAAGGGAGAAACUUGGGCACAGACAUGCACGCAGGGCGAACACCACAGAGGCGGAGAUCGGGGAGGGGGAGGAAACAUCUACACACCAAGGAACGCCAGAGAUUGCCAGUAAACCACCAGAAGCCAGCAUCGGCCCCCGAAGGGAGCAUCCCUACCAACACCUUGACCUCAGACUUCCAGCCUCCAGAACCAUGAGAAUAAACUGAUGGUCUUUUUCAUGAGCAACCUUUGUGGAAACAUAAAUCACGAGAAGGGAGAGACGCCUGUCACCGUUCACGAUGCAAAGGUACAAGUAGCAGAAGCCCGAGGAUAGGGUCUGAAUGACGCCCGCUGAGCCAACAUCACAGCUUCCGGCUCGCAGGGGGGCGCUCACCAACGCUUGUCCCUGGGAAAAGGGGACCUAGAAACAGGAUCUGGGGCUUGCAGACCAGAAACAGUUCCACGGGGCUACUCCUCCGAACCCAGGCGUCCAGACUUCCAGCAGAUUUGGACCAUCGGCGCUCCCUCCAGAUUCCCUCUCCUGGGGAUCUGCGAACAUCCUCUGGCUUCUGUGGGCUUUUGCUUCCGGUGGCUGCACCUGUCUCCGGUGACCGCUGCUCAGCCUGCAAGCAGGGCUGAGGUGCCAGGAGACGGGCGCAGUCCGGGCACCAGUCAGGAGUGACCCUCAGCCGACUACCGGCUGCUACAGGGGUGUGAAAGCUCACCUUCUGGGUCUCGAGGGAGUCGGGACAAGCUCGGAGACAUAAUUUACACUCCUGAGCUCCCCACAGGAUCAGACUAAGCUGAGGCUUUGCUGAAACCUCGCCGUGGCUUGGCUGCUUCUCCGUCCCCCUUCGGCUUCCCCCGCACGGCCUCUUGAUUUCUCCCGAGCGCUUCCUGAAUAAAUCACGCGUAAGACUCUUG
Felis catus (domestic cat) is the source of this 2820-nucleotide long non-coding RNA. RefSeq lists it as uncharacterized. NCBI's taxonomy places the organism in Eukaryota, Metazoa, Chordata, Mammalia, Carnivora, Felidae. The transcript is spliced from 3 exons. The record is from RefSeq and is a predicted model, not a curated record.